AAGAAAAAGAGAAGAGAGACAAU
This 23-nucleotide small RNA is filed under the name Arabidopsis thaliana (thale cress). RNAcentral's name for it is "ATSL236680". Lineage: Eukaryota; Viridiplantae; Streptophyta; Magnoliopsida; Brassicales; Brassicaceae. The record is from RNAcentral.